This 76-nucleotide transfer RNA is filed under the name Chloroflexota bacterium. RNAcentral describes it as "Chloroflexi bacterium (freshwater metagenome) tRNA-Thr". It matches the Rfam family "tRNA". From Rfam's summary of the family: Transfer RNA (tRNA) molecules are approximately 80 nucleotides in length. Their secondary structure includes four short double-helical elements and three loops (D, anti-codon, and T loops). Lineage: Bacteria; Bacillati; Chloroflexota. The record is from RNAcentral.
GCUGGCGUAGCUCAGUCGGUAGAGCAGCCGCCUUGUAAGUGGCAGGUCAUCGGUUCAAGCCCGAUCGCCAGCUCUA